This is a long non-coding RNA of Tupaia belangeri chinensis (Chinese tree shrew), 479 nucleotides long. RefSeq lists it as uncharacterized. The record is from RefSeq and is a predicted model, not a curated record. NCBI's taxonomy places the organism in Eukaryota, Metazoa, Chordata, Mammalia, Scandentia, Tupaiidae. The transcript is spliced from 3 exons.
CCCAAAGUGAAACCCACCCCUGUGUGCUGCUGCCACCUCACGGGAUAGCGCUUCUCCCACUCUACUGCAAUGCAAUUCUUCAGGUGCCUGGCUACUCAGCGGAGCUCUUGGAAGUAGCAUGACCUGGGAAACCUGGCCUCCAGACUGUGUAAAACCCUCACAAUUGAAGAAAUUAAGAAAAUAAACCUGGGCUUCACAGGUGACCUCUGACACAAGCAAGCUCUUACAACUGGUGUUGCUGGAGAAUGAAAUACCCAUUCAGAGGGAAAUGACAACAAGCAAACCAUGUGCUCCCCUGCCAGUUCAUCCAUCCUCAUUCCUGUCUUCACAGCUCCCCGUGCUCUCUGCCUGUGCCUCACCCUGAGCCAGUGGAGAGUGGAAUACAGGGUGGGGGAAGGUAGAAAAGGCUGCCCAUGUGUCCCAUCCCAACAUAGCAAUAUUUCAGGCACAAAUGUUUUUUGUCACUGUCAGCAAUAAAA